RNAcentral lists this ribosomal RNA (496 nucleotides) under uncultured bacterium. RNAcentral describes it as "partial 16S ribosomal RNA". It matches the Rfam family "Bacterial small subunit ribosomal RNA", at positions 28 to 506 of the family's 1533-position model. The record is from RNAcentral.
GAUGAACGCUGGCGGCGUGCCUAAUACAUGCAAGUCGAGCGAACAGACGAGGAGCUUGCUCCUCUGACGUUAGCGGCGGACGGGUGAGUAACACGUGGAUAACCUACCUAUAAGACUGGGAUAACUUCGGGAAACCGGAGCUAAUACCGUAUAAUAUAUUGAACCGCAUGGUUCAAUAGUGAAAGACGGUUUUGCUGUCACUUAUAGAUGGAUCCGCGCCGCAUUAGCUAGUUGGUAAGGUAACGGCUUACCAAGGCAACGAUGCGUAGCCGACCUGAGAGGGUGAUCGGCCACACAGGAACUGAGACACGGUCCAGACUCCUACGGGAGGCAGCAGUAGGGAAGCUUCCGCAAUGGGCGAAAGCCUGACGGAGCAACGCCGCGUGAGUGAUGAAGGUCUUCGGAUCGUAAAACUCUGUUAUUAGGGAAGAACAAAUGUGUAAGUAACGAUGCACGUCUUGACGGUACCUAAACAGAAAGCCACGGCUAACUACGU